This 279-nucleotide ribosomal RNA is filed under the name uncultured bacterium. RNAcentral describes it as "partial 16S ribosomal RNA". It matches the Rfam family "Bacterial small subunit ribosomal RNA", at positions 506 to 784 of the family's 1533-position model. The record is from RNAcentral.
UGCCAGCCGCCGCGGUAAUACGGAGGGGGUUAGCGUUGUUCGGAAUUACUGGGCGUAAAGCGCGCGUAGGCGGACUGUUAAGUCAGGGGUGAAAUCCCGGGGCUCAACCCCGGAACUGCCUUUGAUACUGGUAGUCUUGAGUUCGAGAGAGGUGAGUGGAAUUCCGAGUGUAGAGGUGAAAUUCGUAGAUAUCAGGAGGAACACCGAUGGCGAAGGCAUCUCUCUGGGCCGAUAUUGACGCUGAGGUGCGAAAGUGUGGGGAGCAAACAGGAUUAGAUA